CUCUUCUGUGUUGAAGUGCUUACUGAAUGAGGAAGACUGUCCUCAUUCACUGUCAUGGAGCAUGCUGAAUUAGGAAAUGUGAGGCUUUUGGAAAUAACAGAGUUAAGGAAAGACAGAGAGAGAGGAGAAGUGUGCAAGGGCUGAAAGACCGAACGCAACCAGCAUGAAGAGGGAAGGAAAUGCACCGUCACAAGCUGAGUGGAAAUGUGACGCUGUGACUGGAGUGGGCAAUCUGAUUUCCUGGUUCUUUACUCCAAGCACACAGCGAAUCGCAAGCUCACAAAAAUGCACAUUGCAAACUAAUGAAUAAAUGCACUAAAAACUAA
This is a long non-coding RNA of Xiphophorus couchianus (Monterrey platyfish), 326 nucleotides long. RefSeq lists it as uncharacterized. The transcript is spliced from 2 exons. The record is from RefSeq and is a predicted model, not a curated record. Lineage: Eukaryota; Metazoa; Chordata; Actinopteri; Cyprinodontiformes; Poeciliidae.